UUUUAUGGAGAGUUUGAUCCUGGCUCAGAGUGAACGCUGGCGGCGUGCCUAAUACAUGCAAGUCGAACGAUGAAGCUUCUAGCUUGCUAGAAGUGGAUUAGUGGCGCACGGGUGAGUAACGCAUAGGUUAUGUGCCUCUUAGUUUGGGAUAGCCAUUGGAAACGAUGAUUAAUACCAGAUACUCCCUACGGGGGAAAGAUUUAUCGCUAAGAGAUCAGCCUAUGUCCUAUCAGCUUGUUGGUAAGGUAAUGGCUUACCAAGGCUAUGACGGGUAUCCGGCCUGAGAGGGUGAACGGACACACUGGAACUGAGACACGGUCCAGACUCCUACGGGAGGCAGCAGUAGGGAAUAUUGCUCAAUGGGGGAAACCCUGAAGCAGCAACGCCGCGUGGAGGAUGAAGGUUUUAGGAUUGUAAACUCCUUUUGUUAGAGAAGAUAAUGACGGUAUCUAACGAAUAAGCACCGGCUAACUCCGUGCCAGCAGCCGCGGUAAUACGGAGGGUGCAAGCGUUACUCGGAAUCACUGGGCGUAAAGAGCGCGUAGGCGGGAUAGUCAGUCAGGUGUGAAAUCCUAUGGCUUAACCAUAGAACUGCAUUUGAAACUACUAUUCUAGAGUGUGGGAGAGGUAGGUGGAAUUCUUGGUGUAGGGGUAAAAUCCGUAGAGAUCAAGAGGAAUACUCAUUGCGAAGGCGACCUGCUGGAACAUUACUGACGCUGAUUGCGCGAAAGCGUGGGGAGCAAACAGGAUUAGAUACCCUGGUAGUCCACGCCCUAAACGAUGGAUGCUAGUUGUUGGAGGGCUUAGUCUCUCCAGUAAUGCAGCUAACGCAUUAAGCAUCCCGCCUGGGGAGUACGGUCGCAAGAUUAAAACUCAAAGGAAUAGACGGGGACCCGCACAAGCGGUGGAGCAUGUGGUUUAAUUCGAAGAUACACGAAGAACCUUACCUAGGCUUGACAUUGAGAGAAUCCGCUAGAAAUAGUGGAGUGUCUGGCUUGCUAGACCUUGAAAACAGGUGCUGCACGGCUGUCGUCAGCUCGUGUCGUGAGAUGUUGGGUUAAGUCCCGCAACGAGCGCAACCCCCUUUCUUAGUUGCUAACAGGUUAUGCUGAGAACUCUAAGGAUACUGCCUCCGUAAGGAGGAGGAAGGUGGGGACGACGUCAAGUCAUCAUGGCCCUUACGCCUAGGGCUACACACGUGCUACAAUGGGGUGCACAAAGAGAAGCAAUACUGCGAAGUGGAGCCAAUCUUCAAAACACCUCUCAGUUCGGAUUGUAGGCUGCAACUCGCCUGCAUGAAGCUGGAAUCGCUAGUAAUCGCAAAUCAGCCAUGUUGCGGUGAAUACGUUCCCGGGUCUUGUACUCACCGCCCGUCACACCAUGGGAGUUGUGUUUGCCUUAAGUCAGGAUGCUAAAUUGGCUACUGCCCACGGCACACACAGCGACUGGGGUGAAGUCGUAACAAGGUAACCGUAGGUGAACCUGCGGUUGGAUCACCUCCUUUCUAGA
RNAcentral lists this ribosomal RNA (1509 nucleotides) under Helicobacter pylori. Its description in RNAcentral is "bacterial SSU rRNA". It matches the Rfam family "Bacterial small subunit ribosomal RNA". The record is from RNAcentral. Lineage: Bacteria; Pseudomonadati; Campylobacterota; Epsilonproteobacteria; Campylobacterales; Helicobacteraceae.